AAUCAACGCUGGCGGCGUGCCUAACACAUGCAAGUCGAACGCGAAAGGCUCCUUCGGGGGCCGAGUAGAGUGGCGCACGGGUGAGUAACACGUAGGUAAUUUGCCUUUGGGUGGGGAAGUAACUCAGGGAAACUUGAGCUAAUACCGCAUAAUGCGGCGGCUCGACAUCGAGACAGUUGUUAAAGCGGGGGAUCGCAAGACCUCGCGCCUGAAGAGAAGCCUGCGGCAGAUUAGCUAGUUGGUAGGGUAAUGGCCUACCAAGGCGACGAUCUGUAACCGGCCUGAGAGGGCGGUCGGUCACACUGACACUGACAUACGGGUCAGACUCCUACGGGAGGCAGCAGUCGGGAAUUUUGGGCAAUGGGCGCAAAGCCUGACCCACGCAACGCCGCGUGAAGGAUGAAAUCCCUC
Molecule: ribosomal RNA, 411 nt
Filed under: uncultured bacterium
Lineage: Bacteria
Description: bacterial SSU rRNA
Rfam family: Bacterial small subunit ribosomal RNA
Source: RNAcentral